RNAcentral lists this long non-coding RNA (771 nucleotides) under Sinocyclocheilus anshuiensis. RNAcentral's name for it is "lncRNA (ENSSANG00000018704.1)". Lineage: Eukaryota; Metazoa; Chordata; Actinopteri; Cypriniformes; Cyprinidae. The record is from RNAcentral.
GAAAGUAAUGGUUAUUUGGCUUGCCGGGUAUUGAUAGGCUGACAAAAAACUGCAUGUUUCACCAACCCCAAGCUGAUAACCAUGUACAGUAAAGUGUUGAGACUCCCUCCUGCUAUAAUACAGAAGCCACAUGCACCAGACUGCCCUUGGUGAAAGCCAAACCAAAAAACGCUCAAUUUCAGUGCAACAUCGUGUUCAGGCAUGGUGAGAGAAGUAGGUGGUUCCCCCCGAGAAGAUUGAUGGAGUUGACAUACUCCCACCCCCUCACAGGACAACUUAAAGCUUGCAACGCUGUAGCCAAGGAUUGCAGUGGUUUCCUAGACCUCCUUAGAUGAGGGUAACCUCAAGAGCACAGGGAUGAUGGUGACAGCCUUGAUGCCUGAGGGCAGUGAACAGUUGCCUGAACAGUUGUCCAAGACAGAUGUUAAAGAUACCCAUGAGGACAUCAGUCAUUUUGGCCUUACAUUUCUUUAGCUAAACCUGAAAGCUAAGCUACUACUGAGUAGGGACAUCUGCAAUUAGCCAAAGCCUCUAGAUUGGUGAAGCAUUACUGAGAUUGCGAGUAGAGGUUAAGGCUCAGGCCUGGUAACAGGAAGGUUACUGGUUUGAGUCCUAUUACAAGUGCGCCAUGAGUCAUCACAAUUGUGCCCUUGAACAAGACACUUAACCCCAAGUUGCUCCAGAGGGACUGUCUCUGUAAUAUGUUGUGCUAUUUUAUGGUCACAGAACAUGACAGUAAUGGAAAUAAAUUCCACUGCUCCUGGUUUUGCA